RNAcentral lists this transfer RNA (67 nucleotides) under Marmota monax (woodchuck). Its description in RNAcentral is "tRNA.Ala". The record is from RNAcentral. Lineage: Eukaryota; Metazoa; Chordata; Mammalia; Rodentia; Sciuridae.
GGUAGUGGUUCAGUGGUAGAGUGCUUGCCUUGCAUGCAUGAGGCCAUGGGUUCCAUCCUCAGCACCA